GCUGGGUGUAGUGGUGUACUCCUGUAAUCCCAGCGACUCAGAAGGCUGAGGCAGGAGGAUAAUGAGUUCAAAGCCAGCCUCAGCAAAACUUGGUGGGAACUUAGCAACUCGGAAAGACCCUGACUCUA
This 128-nucleotide small RNA is filed under the name Marmota monax (woodchuck). Lineage: Eukaryota; Metazoa; Chordata; Mammalia; Rodentia; Sciuridae. The record is from RNAcentral.